CCGAACAGAGCCGUUAAGCCCGGGAGCGCCGAUGGUACUGGGUUCACCCCCGGGAGAGUAGGUGGCCGCCAACC
Molecule: ribosomal RNA, 74 nt
Filed under: Pontibacter chinhatensis
Lineage: Bacteria; Pseudomonadati; Bacteroidota; Cytophagia; Cytophagales; Hymenobacteraceae
Source: RNAcentral